GACUUAUUCACUAUCACAAGAAAAGCACAGGAAAGACCUGCCCCCAUGAUUCAAUUACCUCCCACUGGGUUCCUUCUACAACAUGUGGGAAUUGUGAGAGCUACAAUUCAAGAUGACAUUUGGGUGGAGACACAGCCAAACCGUAUCACCCAUGUUCUCCAUAUGCUCUAAAAUCUUGGGUUAUGUAGUUUGAAGGUGACUAUAUUAUAUAUGAAAAGGGAAUCAUGUAUGAGAAGGAACCCUUGCUAUGAAGGGCUGGCCCACAAUUACAAGAUAUCCAGACUACAGGUGAGAUGGCCACUGUAUGAAUGGAAGUCAGCUGUGCCCCUGAGCUUCAUCUCACUGUUGUCCCCACCCCUGUCCUCAGGAAAUUCCAGCUGACUAGGGAAGAGAAUGCCAGUGUAUAGUUUGCAGCAGGAGGAACUCAAAACAUCAGUGACAGUGCCCCAAAAUGCUUCAGUUUCCAUGUUCUCUUUUUCAUUUUUUAGGUCCUAUUUUACUUCCUUACCUAAUACUUAUUAUAUUGGAGGUAUGAUGUAAAUUGGAGUAAUACUGACAGACCUUCUUCUUUGAUAGACUAAGCAGUGUUGCUAGAAACAAAUCAUUGCAUAACUAAAUCAUGAUCCACCAUGCACAUAGCCCACCAACCAAUGGAGAAGACCAGCAGAACAGAUAGUAGGCUAUCUCUUCCAGCCUCAAGCCCCAAUGCUGUCAUUCCUAAGUUGAGACGUUGAAGUCUCUUUGCCUCCCUGGUACAGAGUCUGUUUGCCUUGUCUUGUCCAUGAACCAGAGUUCCUUCAAGUCCUUUCUUGCUCUGCAGUUCUACAAACCAGUGAGCCUGCUCUUGCCUCCAUGCUUGUCCUAGGCUGAUGCUGCUCUGCUACUACUCAGUUAAAGAAACAUUGGCCCAAGAGGACAGGCACAAGGACAGGUGGAAGAAGAAAGCUGUCCUGCCACCAGGAGAUGGCAUGGUGGUAUGGCAGUCCCAGGGCCUCAGAGAGAGCAGACAGACACUGGAGAUCCAGGCAAGAGUAGCUCAAGGAGGUGCCUGCUUCUCCUUUGCCUUCUGCCAUGAUUGUAAGUUCCC
This is a long non-coding RNA of Homo sapiens (human), 1087 nucleotides long. Ensembl annotates it as long intergenic non-protein coding RNA 954. NCBI's taxonomy places the organism in Eukaryota, Metazoa, Chordata, Mammalia, Primates, Hominidae. The record is from Ensembl.